UACGUAGGUGGCAAGCGUUGUCCGGAAUUACUGGGUGUAAAGGGAGCGUAGGCGGGAAGACAAGUUGGGAGUGAAAUGUAUGGGCUUAACCCAUAAACUGCUUUCAAAACUGUUUUUCUUGAGUGAAGUAGAGGCAGGCGGAAUUCCUAGUGUAGCGGUGAAAUGCGUAAAUAUUAGGAGGAACACCAGUGGCGAAGGCGGCCUGCUGGGCUUUAACUGACGCUGAGGCUCGAAAGCGUGGGUAGCAAACAGG
This 253-nucleotide ribosomal RNA is filed under the name [Clostridium] methylpentosum DSM 5476. Its description in RNAcentral is "partial 16S ribosomal RNA". It matches the Rfam family "Bacterial small subunit ribosomal RNA", at positions 524 to 776 of the family's 1533-position model. RNAcentral also lists the same sequence under 1 other name. Lineage: Bacteria; Bacillati; Bacillota; Clostridia; Eubacteriales; Oscillospiraceae. The record is from RNAcentral.